This is a long non-coding RNA of Cydia pomonella (codling moth), 4144 nucleotides long. RefSeq lists it as uncharacterized. The record is from RefSeq and is a predicted model, not a curated record. The transcript is spliced from 2 exons. NCBI's taxonomy places the organism in Eukaryota, Metazoa, Arthropoda, Insecta, Lepidoptera, Tortricidae.
CUGUUAUGUCAAUUUGUAUAAAAAGUUUGGUAAAUAAAUAAAAAUAAACGAUUUGUAAAUUAAAAAAAAAAGAACAUGAACAACAACAAUAUGAUGUUUUACAUUAGUGUUCACUUUUCGCACCGAUGCUAGUUCAGCAGCCACAAUAGUACAUUACGAAUAUUACGAUACAAGUGUGAAUUACGUUUUCGCACGAGUAUUGUACAACGUUUUACAGUACAUAUGGCCCUUUGGAUUUUUUACAAAUGAAAAUAUAGUGCUAGUUACCGCACAACGGCGGUAAAUUAGCGCCAUAUGUACUGUAAAAAAUAUUAAAUUAUAGCCCCCCCUAUUCAUAAAACUUAACAACCUUUUACAUACUCGUAUCUCGUAUCUCUGUUAAAUUGUCUCUUUCUAAGAAAUAGAAAUGUCUGAAUGUCAGAUAAGGAUAAAAAAUAUCAAGAUUUGACAGAUGUUUAUGAAUACGCCAUAAAUUAUUAAGUAAUGAAUCAUUAGAUGACACCGUAGUGAAUCAGAUGAAAGUAUGUACUUCCCCUAAUUAAGGUUUAUAAGAAUAUGAAAGACAAGAUGACAUACCGCUGCGCCCUACCUUGUCGAAACACACGCACACAUACAUUCGCACCCACACAUUUAAACUAAUAAACAUAGACUACCCCAUCCAUAGAUAACGUUUUUGGGGCGUUUAAAUUAAACUGACAACGAAGUCACAUGGGCAGAAGAAGCUUGGCAUAAACAUUAAUUUAUAUAUAAAUUAUUUCUUUUUAUUUAUUAAAGUAACAUAUAUCUAUGCACGCAGAGAAGAUGGCCGAUGGGGUCGAAAAGUACUCGAGUGGAGACCACGGACUAGCAAGCGCAGCGUAGGACGACCACCCACAAGAUGGACAGACGACCUUAUUAAGGUCGCCGGAAGACGCUGGAUGUGGGUCGCUUCCAACCGGUACAUGUGGAGGCCCAAGGGGGAGGCCUAUGUUCAGCAGUGGACGUCUUAUGGCUGAGAUGAUGAUAAUACUUCUAUGAUUGGUAUAAGUUUUCGUUGCUAGAUAUGGUAUUACGAAGAAAAUAGAGCCAGCAAAGUUUUACUUAUUUGUAUCAUCGAAAACAAAUACCAGAUAUAGAUAGGUAUAUGUUUAAUAGUUUAAUCACUCAACGAAGGGAGGGAGGGGUGUUAGGGUCGGCAACGCGCAUGUAUCUCCUCUGGAGUUGCAGGCGCACAUAGGCUACGGAGACUGCUUACCAUCAGGCGGGCCGUAUGCUUGUUUGCCAGCGACGUAGUAUAAAAAAAAAGUUCAUGCCAAAUAAUUAAAAUUCAACAUGUCACUUUGCAAUGAAAGCAUCACUUCGAUUGUAUAUGGUGGCGGGAAAAAAUACGGGACGCGAUACUUAAAUACGGUGACUGUCCGGUAUAUACGGGACGUAUGGCAACCCUAUGUAUUGACCACGACUCGUCCAUACGCCCCGUCUAGUAUGUUACUGAUCUGUGAAUUUCACACAUAUAUAAAUCGUCUACAUAUAUUUUGUAUGAGUCAUCAGUUCCGAUUUAUCUCGCGCACUGGACAAUCGUUUGUUUAUGUGCUAAAGUACAUAACUCUAGUUAUUAUCUUUUGUAUUAUUAAAUAUAUUGUGUUAUUACUUUUAUUACGCUUCUUUCUACAACUUAGUUCUUAGUUGUGACAGGGAUUUCAACCAUACGGGUAUUUUCAAUCAUGAUGUCAUCUAUCGCCAUACCGGUCGUCGUAUUGUCAAUGAUAUACACAGAUACAUGUUCAUUCAACCUUCACUACAGCAAAAUAUAUUACACUAAUUCAAAUCUAGACGCUAAGAACGACAAUAUUAAAUAUACAACAGAUGAGAAAGCGAAAGCGAGAGAUAUGUCAAAUUUGGAUUCUUUAAUAUUUGACCAAAACAAAAAUUCUAAUAGAGGAAAUGCAAGGAUUGAUAAAGAAGGUAUAUCAAAUUAUCUUUACUGGAUACAACGGUUUGAUGAUAACAACAUUAACGCAAAUAAACCUUUGAAUAGUGCUGGAGAACAUAAAAAGACAGCUGACGAAGUAAAAACGAAAACCAAAUUCACGAAACAUAACACAAAACAAAAUUUGAUUGAAGAAGACAAAUCAACACAAGAAAAUACAGACUAUAUUUCAUAUUGGAAGCGCCGAGUUAAAAGAGAUAAUGAUGAUGAUGAAGAAGCUAUAAUGAUUUGGGAUAACUGUCCAGGAACGUUACAGUACGCGAUAAUUGAUGGAGAGCUGAAAUGUGUUAAUCCCAGUGAAAUUAUUGGGGUGUCAGACAGAAUCACAGAGUCUCUAGGAAAAUGCCCUAAAGGUACCAGAAGAAUCAUUUUGCCGGAUCGCACUAAAAUGUGCUUGCAGAAACGAUCAAAAAGAUCAUGAUUUAAUAAUGUAAGGUAAAAUGUGUAACAAGUAAUUGUAUUUAUAUAGUUCGUGUCAUCCACGAUGACGCGCCGAUUUGUCAAAUCUAACCUUAAAUAUCAUAACAAUACAAGUGAAGGCGCGCGUCUUCGUGAAUGACACGAUCUAUAUAUAAUUUAUGGCUUUAAUUUUGUAUUAUGUGAGAAGUUAAAUAUUAUUUACAGUACAUAUGGUGCAACUUUACCGCUCUAGUGCGGUAACUAUCCUACCCUGUCCUAUCUUAAAGGCCGGCAACGCACUUAUAACCACUCUGGUGUUGCAGGUGUCCAAUGGGCGGCGGUAAUCGCUUACCAUCAGGUGAUCCGUCUGCUCGUUUGCCUCCUGAAUGUGUCGAAAAUUGAAAGGGCCACAUGUACUGUAAAACGUUGUACAAUACACGUGCAAAAAGGUUCCUACGUUCCUACUUUUCGCACUUGUAUGUACUAUUUCUGUUCUGGUAAAAUUGUAUUCUGACCUCGGGCAGUGAAUAAGAAUGCCUCAGAUCAUUUUAAGACAUUUUUUAAAUUUUACUGCCCUAGGUAUUAUAUGUAUAAACGGGUAAACAUGAGUCUAUAAAGUUCUAAUAGUUCUAUGUAAGAUAGACGUCACAAUGUCAUUGGAAAACAAUAUGUUUUAAGCAAAAAUUAAAUUUACAGUACAUAUGGGGCUACUUUAUAGCACUAGUGCGAGAAGUAGCAUAUUACGUUACUGUGUCGAACAUUUAAAGGGCCAUAUGUACUGUAAAACGUUGUACGAUACAUGUGCGAAUAGGUAAUUCGCAACUCGUGUCGAUUUAAAACACUCCCUUCGGUCGUGUUUUAAUUUAUCGCCACUCGUUUCGAAUUUCCUAUUUUUCGCACUUGUAUCGUAAUGUACUAUUACAGUACAUAUGGGGCUACUUUAUAGCACUAGUGCGAAAAGUAGCAUAUUACGUUACUGUGUCGAACAUUUAAAGGGCCAUAUGUACUGUAAAACGUUGUACGAUACAUGUGCGAAUAGGUAAUUCGCAACUCGUGUCGAUUUAAAACACUCCCUUCGGUCGUGUUUUAAUUUAUCGCCACUCGUUUCGAAUUUCCUAUUUUUCGCACUUGUAUCGUAAUGUACUAUUUUGGUAAAAACUUUAUCGCUGACUGUACUUUUCUUACUACUAAUACUCAUCGAAACAAUUAGGUUGCGCUGUUUCAUCACAGAGUUCCCAUGGCCACCUUCUGUCUCCAUCAUCAGAUCAGCUCGAUGGUACCAUAAUAUUGCAUUGUAACCCGACUUACGUAUGUAUGCAAAUUUUCAGCUCAAUCGGAAAGUGGGUCAAAUUUAGCUUCCAAGAUUUGACCCACACUAACUAACACACUAACAAACUUUCAUACUAACAGCGGUGGCAGCAUGUUUCCAUUUUUAUCACUUGUCACUAUGCCCGUCACUUUCGCGCUUACAUACUUUGUUAGAACGUGAUAGGCAUGGUGACAAAUGAUAAAGAGCCGACCAUUCACGGGCCGGCCACAACAUCGAGCGGCGGUGGCAGUGGCGAGCGGCGGCCAUAAGUGGGAACGAAAGGUCGGAUCGCUGUGUCUCGCUCCAACCUAUGGUCGCCGCCGCGCGAUGUCGUGGCCGGACCAUUCGCCCUGCAGGGCAAGUUAAAUAAAGGUUUGUAAAAAGAGUCGUUUUAGCGAUAAGACCGCCAGUUGUCUACCAUAGUUUAAUUUGUAUUUCAUAUUGGUGAGCAAUAAAGAAUAUUUGUA